GCAUCGGUGGUUUAGUGGUAAAAUUAGCCGUUGCCAUCUGUAUCAGAUCAAUUCGGCUAGCCCCGGGUUCGAUUCCCGGCCGAUGCA
Molecule: transfer RNA, 87 nt
Filed under: Parastagonospora nodorum SN15
Lineage: Eukaryota; Fungi; Ascomycota; Dothideomycetes; Pleosporales; Phaeosphaeriaceae
Description: Phaeosphaeria nodorum SN15 tRNA-Gly for anticodon GCC
Rfam family: tRNA
About the family: Transfer RNA (tRNA) molecules are approximately 80 nucleotides in length.
Source: RNAcentral